AACGCGAAGAACCUUACCUGGGCUCGAAUGUAGUGGAAUCGGGUGGAACAUCCGCGUCUCGCAAGAGACUGCUAUAUAGGUGCUGCAUGGCUGUCGUCAGCUCGUGUCGUGAGAUGUUGGGUUAAGUCCCGCAACGAGCGCAACCCUCGUCCAAUGUUGCCAGCGGGUAAUGCCGGGGACUCAUUGGAGACUGCCGGGGUCAACUCGGAGGAAGGUGGGGAUGACGUCAAGUCCUCAUGCCCCUUAUAUCUUGGGCUGCAAACAUGCUACAAUGGCCAGUACAGAGGGCUGCGAGACCGUAAGGUGGAGCGAAUCUCAAAAAGCUGGUCUCAGUUCGGAUUGGGGUCUGCAACCCGACCCCAUGAAGUCGGAGUCGCUAGUAAUCGCGAAUCAGCAACGUCGCGGUGAAUACGUUCCCGGGCCUUGUACACACCGACUGUAC
This 442-nucleotide ribosomal RNA is filed under the name uncultured bacterium. RNAcentral describes it as "bacterial SSU rRNA". It matches the Rfam family "Bacterial small subunit ribosomal RNA", at positions 958 to 1399 of the family's 1533-position model. The record is from RNAcentral.